RNAcentral lists this ribosomal RNA (1347 nucleotides) under Triticum aestivum (bread wheat). RNAcentral describes it as "partial small subunit ribosomal RNA". The record is from RNAcentral. Lineage: Eukaryota; Viridiplantae; Streptophyta; Magnoliopsida; Poales; Poaceae.
AUGGAUCUCCUCUCCGCCGCCUACGGCGCCACCUCCGACGACGACGCCGACGCCGCCCCGCCUCCCAGCUGGUCCGCCACGGCCCUCCCCUCGGUCGCCCCGCCUCCCCCGAAGCGGCCGCGGUGGGAAUCUCCCCCGUACCCUGGGUACCCACCACCACCUCCCCUCCCCUCCCCGCGACCGGCCCCACCCCAAGCCGCGCCGCCGCCACUGGCUGGCAGAAGGUACGUCUCCAAGAGGGAGCGCGCCCUCCUGGCGGCAUCCCAGCCUCCCGUGGGCUCCGCGGCACUGCUUCCUCCGCCGGUGGCGCCGGAGUUCGACUCCCCAGUUGUUGGAUCUUUUGCUGAUUCAAAUAUUCGAGCUGAUGUUUUGCAUUCUUUACGGUGCCAACCAAAGCCUGGAUCAAACAGCAGUUCACCUUUGAAGCUCUCAGUGUCUUUGAUGGGUCACACUAAAGCAGUCAAUUGUGUGGAUUGGUCACCGAGCCAUGGACAUCUUCUUGCUUCUGCUGGAAUGGAUCAUACAGUCCGCGUAUGGAACGUUUGGAACAGAGGGGAUACUACUGCUCGAGUUUUAAAACAUCAUACUGCUGCUGUAAAGGAUGUGAAGUGGUCCCAUCAUCGGCCCUUCUUACUUUCCGGGGGGCUUGAUUGUUCCUCACGACUAGUUGACCCCGAGGUGGGAAAAGAAAUCACGGUAUUCAAGGAGGAUCAACCAGUGGAGGUCAUCAAGUUCAGUCCAAGCAACUCAAAUCUCUUCCUGUCUGGUGGUUCCAAGGGUUCUCUUAGGCUCUGGGAUAUUCGAACUGGCUUGACAACUAAAGAGUUCAACAGAAGUCUUGGCACCAUCCUCGACCUUGAUUUCAGUGCUGAUGGGAAGCAGUUUAUCUCUUCAACCGACACAACCAGAAGUAAUGUUAGUGAGAACACUAUAAUUGUAUGGGAUAUAUUACGAGAAGUUCCUCUAUCUAACCAGGUUUAUACAGAAGCAUUCACCUGUCCCUGUGUGAGAUACCACCCAUACGAAGCUUCUUUUGUCGCGCAAUCCAACGGCAACUACAUCGCUAUUUUCUCAGCAAGGCCGCCAUUCAAGCUAAACAGGUACAGGCGGUUCGAAGGACAUGGAGUGUGGGGCUUUCCGAUAAAGUGCAGUUUCUCUUUGAGCGGGAGGGAGCUUGCAUCUGGUUCGUCCGAUGGCUGCAUCUACUUUUAUGACUAUAAGUCCUCGAGGUUUCUGAGAAAGAUCGAAGCCUUCAAAGAAGCGUGCACUUAUGUUGCAUACCACCCUGUACUACAUAAUGUGAUUGCUUCAUGUGGGUGGACUGGUGAAAUAUCUGUUUUCGAAUGA